Molecule: ribosomal RNA, 207 nt
Filed under: uncultured bacterium
Lineage: Bacteria
Description: partial 16S ribosomal RNA
Rfam family: Bacterial small subunit ribosomal RNA
Source: RNAcentral
CGGAUUGUAGUCUGCAACCCGACUACAUGAAGCUGGAAUCGCUAGUAAUCGCGGAUCAGAAUGCCGCGGUGAAUACGUUCCCGGGUCUUGUACACACCGCCCGUCACACCAUGGGAGUCGGAAAUGCCCGAAGUCUGUGACCCAACCGGAAGGAGGGAGCAGCCGAAGGCAGGUCGGAUGACUGGGGUGAAGUCGUAACAAGGUAUC